AAAAUAAAGCCUAGUGGACAUGGCAUCUGCCCGGUAAGCGGAACAUUGUGGGUUCGAUUCCCAUCCCUUGACACUUUUAUUUUU
RNAcentral lists this transfer RNA (84 nucleotides) under Cordylochernes scorpioides. RNAcentral describes it as "tRNA-Thr". The stretch from base 8 to 64 matches the Rfam family "tRNA", at positions 9 to 63 of the family's 71-position model. Rfam says of the family: Transfer RNA (tRNA) molecules are approximately 80 nucleotides in length. Their secondary structure includes four short double-helical elements and three loops (D, anti-codon, and T loops). Lineage: Eukaryota; Metazoa; Arthropoda; Arachnida; Pseudoscorpiones; Chernetidae. The record is from RNAcentral.